Long non-coding RNA from Pollicipes pollicipes, 358 nucleotides. RefSeq lists it as uncharacterized. Lineage: Eukaryota; Metazoa; Arthropoda; Thecostraca; Pollicipedomorpha; Pollicipedidae. The transcript has 2 exons. The record is from RefSeq and is a predicted model, not a curated record.
AGCGCGUGCAGUCUGGAAUUGUUGUUGGUCGGGAGGCGCCACUAAACAACCAUGCCGUGCAAGGGGUGCUGCGGUAAUAAGAAGUGCUGCUCGAGCGGCGACUGCUGCAAGUCGGGCGGCUGCACGUGCGGCAACUGCUGCUGCAGCAGGUCGUGCUGCGCGUCGGGCUGCGGCGACGACUGCAAGUGCGGCAUCAGCGGCUGUCCCGCCUCGCCCACCAAGAAGUAGCGCCGGAAGACGCCUUCCGCGCGCUUGUGACCGCCGCACUCGCCGAUUAUGUGCACCGCGCCGCCGGCUGGACGCCGCGCGGCGGCCCAGUGCGUCCGUACUUUUCUAAAUAAAAGAGAACGAAAAUGAA